RNAcentral lists this long non-coding RNA (997 nucleotides) under Ananas comosus (pineapple). RNAcentral describes it as "long non-coding RNA (ACOM_LNC038810)". Lineage: Eukaryota; Viridiplantae; Streptophyta; Magnoliopsida; Poales; Bromeliaceae. The record is from RNAcentral.
ACACCGCUUGUGGAGGAGCGACCUCCCAGAAGCCGGAACCAAUACGUAUGAGUAUGAUCCCAUCCUCAAUUUGAGGAGGUAUGGCCAACCAGUCUCAAUGCCACAAUGCCGAUGAAAGGUCUUUACCUAUUCAUGCAUAUACUACCAUUUCCCAAUAUCACAAUGGUCCUGAUGCCACAAUAAGCUAAAUCUUGUUUAGUCAUUUUCUUUAACCAUGAUGCCACAAUACCGAUGAUAGGUCUUUACCUAUUCAUGUAUGUCACUUUACUAAGCCACAAUGGUCACAAUGCAUAGAAUGGUCUUUACUUCAUCUAGCAUAUCAUGCUCUUAGCCACUUUUGCCAUUAUUCUCAUAUUGCUCAUAAGGGCUUACCCUACUUAGCACAUCAAUUCAUAUUGUGACAAGGUCACAUUAUCUAGGGCCACACUUGCUACAAUAUCCACUAAUAGGAUAGUCAAUAUUUCACAAUGCUUUUAAGGUUUUACCUUAUCUAGCACAAUAUGUCCUCGGUGCCAAUCAUGUCACUAGAGUCAAUGUCACCUUUAUUUACUAUGGAUCAAGUCUUUUCUCACUUUCACAUACAUAGAGGGUUGUUCAUUUUCUCGUUCUCAUGGCUUUACAAUAUAUUUGCAAUGUUCAUAAGCAGAUAAUUGAUACAAUCAACAUUUAUCUCAUUACCCUAUAUGCAUGAGUACAACAUUAUCAACAUGCUCAAAGAAGUGACAUAGAUAUAGAAAGAGAUCCGGUGUUUUCGGACAGCACCCCCCAUCUUGUAGGAAUGCCUAGAAGCCCCGAUUCAAUUUUCACGAUUUUUAGACACCUACGCCGCGAGCUGCGGCCAUCUGUACCAAUUUAGCUUGUUUCUUCAAUAUCUUCGCAUACGCUCGUCGUAUCGCCGAAUCGAGCGCACCAACGCGUUCGUUGACCUAUCAAUUAGGUUAACAAGAGAUCAAACUCAAGUUAGAUCUCAACUCUACAAAAUCCCAUUUUCUAACCC